Molecule: long non-coding RNA, 19174 nt
Filed under: Nicotiana tabacum (common tobacco)
Lineage: Eukaryota; Viridiplantae; Streptophyta; Magnoliopsida; Solanales; Solanaceae
Description: long non-coding RNA (NTAB_LNC015922)
Source: RNAcentral
UAAAUAGUGCUAAAUUUAGGUGAAUUGGGCAAAAACAGAUUUGUUAAGGGUAGGUUUUGAAUUUAAAAUUUUUGAUUUGUUGCCCUAAGGAGAAGGCUAUAAAUAAACAGUAUAUGUUGAAGGAAAAAGAAGAAGGGAGGAGGGUACGGCAGAAGACAAAAAAAAUUGGCAAGGAAAAAGAAUUUUUCAUCUCAAACUUUUCUUAGCGCUUUGGUUUUCUUAGCAUUUUCUGGUUUCUUUUACUGAUCCUGGUCUUGAAGAAGUGUUGAGUAGGACUUUUGUUGUUGCUAUAGUGACUACUGAGCUCCAUUUACAAUUUUUAGAUUUUUAUUUUUGAUUCACUUUCUAAUAGGUAUGUAAACUUCAUUUUGAUAGGAAUUUAGAACGAAUUCUGCUCAUGUUAUGUCCUUGUUUCCAGAUCUGUUUUUGCAUUCUUCUAUCUCUUUGAAUCCAUUUAAUUCUCAUCCCAUAAUUAAUGUCAUGAUUUUUGCUUCAAUUAAGUGUAAAAAUUAUUUAGGUUAGUAAAGUAAUAUGUUAAAUGUUAGCUUGUGGGGUCCGAAAAUGUUCAACUAAACUCAUGCAUGUCUCGCAGAUUGGAUCUUUUUUUAUUAAAAAAAUAUUUACGAAGUGAAGUGUACUGCAAAUAAAAUCUUUAUUAUGAAACUCUUUGUGAAUGGCGAUUAAAUUUGUUAGAUGGAAUUAUGUGUAUAAUGUAAAUGAAAUGUGGUUUGUUAUACUGUGUCUUGCUUGAUAGAGACUUUUCAUUCCAUAAGCAUGUCCCUUCUGACAGAAUGUGUACCUUGGUUAAAAAAGAAAAUGUCAAAUCGGUAGGGGAGGGAUGGAACGUCCCCACUGUUGAAUUUUGAUAUUUGUGCUUGGUAAGGAUAGUAUCUAACAUGAAUGUCAUUUUCAAUUACGACCGUCUUAGCUAGAGAAUGUCGAAUUUCUUAUUGUGUGUGAUUUUUUGCACUCGACUUAGUAAAUUCCUUGGAAUGGGAAGGAAGUUAGGAACGUUGAGUCCUUUGAAUCGCUACCGAAUUUUAAUUAAUUGAAGGAGCAUACUGUAUUACGGAUCUUAGUGGAGAACGAUAGCCGGAAAAUAGUAAGCUGAUGGACAUGAAUAAUUCGCCCUAAGCAUAGUUAGAACAUCACGACUAUGAGUACGGUUCCCGUGACGUAGUUGCAAUGAUUAAUUUUGAAUUAAUUUUAAAUAUGAAUAUCCGUAGUUCUUAGUUGAAUGUUUUUCCUUUAAUAAAUUUGAGGUGUGUCAUCCAAUCACCUAGCCCACGGCCCUCAUAAAUAUCAUAACUAGCUAUUUAAAAUGAACCUCGUAGCUUGAUUUAGGCACGUAAUUAAACUAUCACAACUACGGGUACGGUUCCCGUGACGUAGUUGUGGUACUUGGUUUUUUUAAAUUAGAUAAGUAGGAAUAUCUUUAGUUUUCCUUUAAAAAUAUAUACAAACCUUUUCUUUAAAAUAAUUUGAGGUGCGCCAUACACAAAUAAAAUUAACAACAUAUGGCCCUCACAAAGUUAGCCUAGAAAAAUGCUUCGAACUUUCGUAGUUGCUUUAGGCGCGUUAAUUAAAUAAUUGUCAUGGAUACAGGUACGGUUCCCGUGACAUAGUUGUGAUACUUAAUUUCUAAAAUACGGGGAUACAUUUAUGUGACCCGGCCACAAUUUAAUUUUGUUAACAAAAUAAACAUGUUGUAGAUCGUGGGUACGGUUCCCGUGACAUGAUUCGCAAUAUGUAACACUAAUUUAUUAAAAGCGGUUUAAAAGAAUAAAAUGCACAUAGGUUUCAAAGAUGNNNNNNNNNNNNNNNNNNNNNNNNNACCAUAAAUUAUCCCAAGUGGCGGCUCUGAAUUUUAAAUAAAUAAUCUCGUUUCGAUUGUCACUUAAAUUGGAAAAAACUCCCUUAUACCCUUCGGGGGUAGUAAAAAGGAGGUGUGACACCAGGGUCCUCGGGAUAGAUUCGGAAGAUUUUUUGGAAAGUUUGGUUUUGAAAGUGUACAGCUUCAGCUGCUGCCCCUGUCAUAACCACACCUGCGGAUUGGGGACCGCAGGUGCGAGAUCGCAGAAAUGCAAGAUCAGCUGCAGAUGCAGCCAUAUGAGAGAAGGCCAGAAGUCGCAGGUGCGGGAGGUGCAACGCACCUGCGGUCUCACAGGUGCGGAUAGAUAGGCGCAGGUGCGGUUCUAGGGAAUAAGUGAAAAUCGCAUAUGCAAUUGGUUAGACCGCAAAAGCUGUACCGCAGGAGCGGGAAAAGGACCGCAGGUGCGGAAUCCCUAGGUCCAAAAGUAUAUAAGUUCCCCUUCGCAAAAUUUGAGUUGUUUUCCACCAUUUUUAUCCAGAGUUAAAGCUUUUUAGAGGGUUUUGAAGAGGGAAUCAAGGAGGUUUCCAUUGAGGUGAGUUUCUUGAAUCUAACACUCAAUUCUAUGUUGAUUUUCAGUUGUAUAAGUAUGAAAUUUAUGAGAUUAAGGGUGAAAAAAUUGGGGAAGUUAUGGCUUAGAAAUUGGAGAGAUAAAAUUGGGGAUUUGAGGGGCCAUUUGAGGUUCGAUUUUGAUGUUCUUGGUAUGUAUAGACUCGUGGGAGGAUAAGGAUCUAUUGAUGUGAUUUUUAUCAGAUUUCGAGCCGUGAGCCCGGGGCCGGGUUUGACCAAUUUCGGGAUUCUUGAUGUAAUUUGAUUAUUUUUGCAUGGGCUUCGUUCUCUUAGCAUAUAUUGAUGUUAUGAUUCUGAUUUUGGAUAGAUUCGACGUGAGUUGAGGCCGAGUCGAGAGGCAAGGGCGUUGCGGAGUAGGAUUUCAUCUAGUUUGAGGUAAGUAGACCUGAGGGUAUGAAACCCCAAAAUUUCAUAUUGUUUUGAUAAAUGAGGUGACACACAUGCGAGGUGAUGGGCGUGUGGGCAUGCACCUGUAGGGAUUGUGACUUGGUAUGUCCCGUGGCGAUUGUAUAGUUGCAUAUUUUGAUAUACUGUAUAUGAUAUCCAUGUGUUUUAGCAAUGAAUCUGUUAACUUGGGCUAAAUGCCAUGUUUGGGGCCUUUGUGCCGAACUAUUUAGACCCUUGGGGGUAUUUUACUACUUUCCUCACACUCUUUUGAUUUGAAAGAAUAUCAUCAGUCAUGUUUUAUCUGUUUAUUGUUUAAUCUGGUUUCAUUACUCUACUUCUUAAUAUAUGAAAACUAUAUGGGUUGAGUUUCCCUGAUUUUCACGGACAUGCCCGAGUGGCCGUGAGGUUAAUGACUGAGAGAGGUUGAGGACCUAAUGGUGAGGAUUAUACUUAUGUUAUAGACCGGCUGCAUUCCGCAGCGAUAUUAUAUAUGUUAUGGAUCGGGCUGCACGUCGCAGCGAUAUUUAUAUAUAUAUAUGGAUUGAGUUGCACGCUACAGCGAUAUGUAUUGGAUCGGGCUGCGCGCCGCAGCGAUAUGACGGUUGAGUUGUAGGAGUCCCUCCGGAGUCUGUACACCCCCCGUGAGUGCAGUCGACUAUAUAUAUUAUGGAUCGGGCUGCACGCUGCAGCGGUUAUUAUUAUGGGAUAUCUAUUGAGCUGGAGUGCUGAGUGUGAGUACUGAUUGACGAGAGCUGAGUCACAAGUGACUGAAAAGUUUGCCCGAGAGGCCAUACCUAUGAGUGAUACAUUGCCCGAGGGGCUUGUCUAUGAGAUUUUCUAUUUUUCACUCUCCUUUUAUACUGAGCCUCUAUUGAAAAUGAUGACUAAAUGUUUUAAAGGAUUUUGAUUGAAACUGGAGUUUUUACAAGGUAUUUGGUUAUUGAACUGUAGAUUUUGACUUUGAUAUUUCUGUUGAGAUUCUUGAUAAAAUAUGCAUAUGAUUUUAAAUGCUCGUCAGUGCACUCAGACUUUAUUUACUUUAGUUACUUAAAGAGUUGUCAUACUCACGUUACUCCCUGCACCUUGUGUGCAGAUCCAGGUGCACGAGCAUCAGAGUGAGAGCUUUCAGCACCUUCAGAGUCUUAUCCGGAGAUUGCAAGGUAGUUGCACGGCGUUUGCAGCCUUGCCUUUCUCCUUCCUAUCCCAGUAUUUUGUAUUUCAGACUUAUUUUGUAUUAAGCAGAUAGUGUUGAAUGUACUUAGUGGCUCAUGACUAGUGACACCAGAUUCGGGCUGUGUUGAUGUAUUUACGUACUUAUUUCCGCGUAUUUUUUUUUUAUAUUUUAAAAAUAAAAGAUUUGAGACUUAAUCUGUUUAGAAAAAUGAAUUUUACAAAAGAUCCUCAUGUUGUUCGUGUUGUUUCUGCUGGCCUAGUACUGUGAUAGGCACCAUCACAAUCGGGGUGUUUGGGGUCGUGAUAAUAUUGUUGAUCACGCUUAAAAAUAUAGAAGGAAAUCUUUACGUGUGAUUCUUGGAGAGAAAGAAUCCUUAUUUAUUUGAGUUUUCAAUUUUUGUAUGUGUUUGGCUAAUUUUAAUAAAUCUACAAUUAUGGCUAGAAGUUUGUAAGCUACUACUUAUUUGGGACUUUUCGUAAGAUUCCCAAAAUUAACACCAACGAAACUAAAGUUUGCUGAGAUGUAAAAGUCUUAAAAAUCUAUUAAUAAGUCUAUCUAUCCAACUGGACAUGUUGUGAUAAGGUUAACUUGGUUUCUAUUAUACCUCUGGUCAAAGUUAGGAAAACUACCCCGCUAUGUGUCUGACUUUUUAUGUGUCUAUAUGGUUAUCACUUGUUCAAAGAUAAUGGCUUAUUUGAAUGAAAUAAGUCAACAUACUUCAUUUAAUUGUGUAUAGUAUUACAAAUUCAAUGGCCAUUGAUGUAGUAUUUGCAAUAUAGUUCCUUAAAGUUUGAAUUAAUGUGGUUUAAUAAUAUUACAGAUAUUUAAUAUAUAUUUUCAGAAAAAACGUAUUACGAUCAAAAAGUAGUAUACUUCAAAUGAAACAAAACAAAAAAUAAAAAUUAUGAGAUAUAGAGGACUAAACCCUAAAUCAAUAGCAAGUAGAGACAUGACGUUCAAUAUAUAUUUUCAGGGAAAAAAAAAUGUUCAAGUGAAUCUCAAUCUCAAACCCACAAUGUUCUCAAACGAAAUAUGUGGUAUUAUGGCUCAAAAUUUGAGUUGUAAUAUUCAAAUUCCAUAUUGGAGAUAGAUGAAGAUGAAUUUUAAAUUACUGGAUGGAAUAAUCUUUUGGUUAAACAUGUGUUUUUUUUAAGGAAUACCAAAGGGAUAAAUUAAAAAAUAGCCAGAUUUACAAGUGGUCAUUCAAAAAUAGCCACAGUUUCAAAAGUAAUCAAAAUUUAGCCACUUUUCAUGUAAAGAUAAAUCUGAACGAAAAUACUGUUCAAAAUUCGAAAAAUACUCCAACAUAAUAUAUUGGAGUUCCAGCAUAAGUAUACUGGAACUCCAGUAUAUUAUAAUGGAGUUCCAGCAUAAGUAUACUGGAACUCCAGUAUAUUAUAAUGGAGUUCCAGCAUAAGUAUACUGAAACUCCAGCAUAAUAUACUAGAGUUCUAGUAUAAUAUACCGGUCCGGUAUAAUAUGCUGGAAGUUCAUACACAGGUGCUCCAAUCUCCAGUAUAUUAUGCUGAAACUUUCGCGUGUUGGAGUUUCAGUAUAAUAUGCUGGAAGUUCAUACAUAGAUGCACCGAUCUCCAGUAUAUUAUGCUGGACCGGUCCCUAUUGCAGCAAAAUAGUGGCUAUUUUUCAAUGACUUUGCAAACGCUGGCUAUUUUUGAAUGACCAGUCCGAAAACUGGCUAGCCCGUGCUAUUUUACUAUACCAAAAGAUUCAAACAGUUAGGUCAUAGAUACAAUCUAAUGUGAAGGCUGCAUUGAGUUUCGUUUGACGCAAAAUCUGGUCCAUUUUUACAACUAUUUUAGUUAUCUAAAUCCGGAAUGAGAAAUUGUCAUUCCUAGUUGUAUUUUAGUAAUCUUUUGUUAGCUCUAUAAAUAAAUAGCUUAAGAGGAUAACAUCCUCAAAUCAGCGCAUUCAGAGAAAAAUGGCCUUUUACAAAGCUAGUAUCCUUUCUCUCCUCCUAUUAUCUGGUAAGGCUUCUUUGAUAUAUAUAUAUAUAUAUAUAUAGCCAAAAUGUCAUUUUAUAUCUUUACUUUGUGUUGAUUUGGGUGCUUUAAUUUAUAGGUAUAUUUCUGUUGGGAAUUGGUGAGGUGAAAUAUGUAAAUGCCAAGUCAUGUCUCCAGUUUUGUGAUAAUGAAGUGGCAUACAUGACUUGUCCCUCUUCAGGAGAUGAGCAAAUUAGUCCAGUAUGUGUCAACUGUUGCACAGCAGAUGAAGGUUGUAAACUUUUCCGCACUGAUGGAUCAUUAAUUUGUACUGGAACCCAAGAUUAACUCAUCCUUCUCAAAAAUGUAAUAAUUAACUAAAAUCUCUAUACAUACUCAUAUCAUAUGUGUGCAAUAAGGCCUGAGUUUAUUAUUACUCAGGUGAUUUCUAAUGUGCAAUUAUGUUUGCAUCCUUUGUCUGAGCUUGUAAAGAUAUGAAUAAAAAGUAAUAAAUUAUAUCUAUCACAAUGUUAUUUUAUUGAAGUUUAAAUUCUUUGCAUGGUAACAAGCAGCUGAAAAGAUAGCGCUAGUGACCUAAAGGGAGAGUUAGUACAGUGAAAAGGUUGAAAUACAAUAACUUAUUAUUUGCUGCAAAGUUAGCCGUUGGAUUAAAUAAUAGAGAUGGUACAAGGAUUAUGCACCUGUUAACAUAGCAGAUUUCUCUUAGACACAAAAUUAAAUCUUCAAGAACUAAUUGUCUCCUUCUAUUUUUGUGUUUCUACUGGAGAGGUCUAGGGGAAUACUUCAUUUCCCGACUGGAUUUCUCAUUCUUGUUUUCUCUAGUAUGUUAAAUCCCUAGCAGCAGCAAGGUGGAAAAAGAACAAAAAAUGAAAAUAUAAGUACUAUUGUUCUUCUUUGGCUUUUAUCCAGCACAGUACUAUCAUAAUAUCUAGCAACACAGGAUGAAAGAACUCAGACCUCUUCAUUUGUUGCUCUUGUCUGUUUUUACUCUAAAUUUUUCGUACAUGCAGGAAGACGACGGUAGUUGUGCUCUGCAGCACGUUUUUCCCCUCCUUUUUUUAAUAGUAUUAAGACUUACAACUUUUGCUCCACCAGCGUGGGCAAAAUAGCAGAGCAAGUAUUAGAAGUAUAACAGACAAGCUUGCAAGCAAUCUGUAGAUUAUCCUAAUUGCAAAACCAUGAAUCGACUUGGCAAAAAAGAGAGCUGCUAUACAUAAGGAAGGAUACUCAAAUAUAUACACGUGAUCUGGUCAUUCACUAUCUACCUACAGGGCUCUAAUUCAAACUGGAUCAGCUUUCUGGAAAAUCUCUUGAAAACAAUAUAGAAACAAAAAACAAAAGAAUGGGCACAAGGAGAUCCACUCCACCACGGGGACAGCCUGCAAUCACGGCAUCAAUACAUGCAUCAGUAUAUAACCUAAAAAAAGAGUAAUUCCUACAUUAACAUGGCACUACGACCUUUCUUAAAGAACAAAACAUGGCACUAAUAGUGUACACCAUCCCCCACCCCACUACCAAGAAAAAAGGAAGAAAAGCGGAGGAGAAUUUGCAAAAUAUUUCAUGAAAAGACAGUUGCGUAUGUAGUUCUAUAUAGUUUUUAUCCAUAAUAGAAACAGAAAUCUAUUUCAGUCUCUCACUUGAUAGGAUGCAAUUGUCGUCCAAUGGCUAAAACUCACUUUUCAAGGGAAAUGAUAAAUGCAAUUCCAUCUUGAGAAGAAAGCAAAAAAUACUACCUAGCAUGACGUUUGAAAACAAAUAUCAUCACAGGAAUAAACAAAAGAAUGUUGAAAAUGAAAGAUACUCACUAGAAUUUCCUAAUGUCUCUGAUGUUGGUAAUGCCGGCAACGACAUCUCUGCAAAUUGAAGCAAUUCAUCAAGACAUUUAUUUACCGUAAAGAUAAUUAAUAUGGAGCUAUAUGCCAAAAGUAGCUUCACUUUGGCAGAAAGAGAAUUUAAUGUGAAGUUAAGUCAAUUACCGGGAGCACAUAGAGAAAAAGAUGUGCCGGUCAAUGAUGAAGGCCAUGGAGCAGCAAUAUUGUCAUUUAAGUCGCAAGUAAAGCUGAAACCUGUUGAGUUGUCAUACACCAGAUCUGCUGGAUAACUUCGAAGUAAGCACCCUGCUAAUUAAUUUAAAUGACAUAAUAAGUACAACCUACACCAAGAAAACCUAAGAUGCAUUCCACAAGGCAAAAAGCAACGCUGACAAAAUACUGGCAUUGUAACACGCAGUUGCACUUAUUUUUUCAGUCAAACGCAGUUACGAAUUUCAGUUUGCUUACCAACAACAGCAGAUGCAUGCAUAAAAUUCCAGCUAUCCCUAAGCUAGAGGAUAAUCUUUCAAGUGCUCACUUCUCAUAAGUUGUAUGCAUGCAAAUUGUGGAAUUAAAUAGGUGAAUCAGGGAGUAGCGAAAUUGCCAAGCUUAAAAGCAGUGACAACCUACUAAAAAAUGACAGAACUUUAUUAGAGCAGAUGGCACUGGUGCUGCUUUUGUUAGGAUUAUUAACUUUUCUUUGUAUUUCUUCACCCUAAACAAUAUAAGGAAUGCAAGGCAAUUCCUUGCAUUCAUGCUCUUACAAAUCGUCAUUGAGCAACUAUGUUUGAUGGUCCCAUCCCAUGAAAUCAGCAGGUAAUCAAUUGAAAAUAACCCAAUGACACCUUUAUAUAUCCGUGAGGGUGCACACUGUUGCAAGAGAGUUAAGUAGCUUAAUUAUCAAAGGCGAAUACUCACUUAUUAUGACUAGUAAGCUAGCUGUAGGGAACCUGCUCUAAGGUAUCAUGAUACUUGUACGGUACCAUAGAGCAAUUAUUCAUAUUCUCGUCACUAAGAGUAAGGGCUGAAAGUUUAGAUUCAGUUUAUCGAGAAAAUGGAAAAAGAAACUCACUUCAACUCACAGCCCAACAGUACUAAAUGUAUGCUAAUAUUAGAUAAAACAAUAGUUGCAGGGCUGUGGAAAGAGGUAAUAACUAUCGUCGGCAUGAGAUACAGAAGGCCCAUAAUAUCUUUAUUUUAAAAAAGAAAUAUAUUAUGAUGGUGAUACCCAGGCCAGCUUGCGCGCACCUCAACUAUUCCACCAAUUACCUGCUACCUCCCACGGUAAUUAGCCCAUAUAAUCUUUAUUACACCAUUAUGGCAGAUGGAAAUACGGAGUCCUACAACAGUAACAAAACUGCAAUUUCUCAAUCUGUCUAAAAGUUCCAAGUUCUUUAGGAGCUUAUAUUGGUUGAAACGACUGAUAUGUAUAAUAGCAUAACAAGUUCAGAGUUUCUGAGAGAAAUAAAAACUUAUAUCCAAAUAUCUUCGUAUGAAAAUUUAUAAAAUUGAGUGCUUUAUGCUAAAGAAAGAAACACGGGCCAAUAUUUAUUAACAGCAAAUCAGAGAAUGAAAAAGCAUACAAAAUAAUAGAGUUAGUACCUUCUUGCCCAUAUGCUGCUCCAUUGCAAACAGACGCCAAUCAUAAAGAAAGCGAACAUCAGAUAAAAACAAUAGAAUAGAAAUCAACAAGCAAUUAAAAAACAAAAUUAAAAAAUGAACAAUCACCUUGAAGACUAAAGUCUUUCAAGUCAACAUCACAAAGCUCAUAAACAUUUGUCAUGACCCCAGCCUUCUGUAACAUAGAACCAAACGCCGCAGCACACAUAAUUGCUUGCUGAUUUGUAAUCAACAUCUGCCUCUGCAUCCCAGUAAUAUAGGCAUUUAAUGAGCUACAACAUGAAGGACUAGGAGCGGCUAAAUUUCUGCACGCAUUGAUCACUUCUAAUGGUUGCUUGAAUUCCAGGGGACACGCUGCAAACCAAAAGAAAACAUGAUUAAAAAUAUGCCCCUAAUCACAACUGAAAUAUGCUAGAACGAAUAGUACAAUUCUGCUGGUGUGAGCCAACCCGAACUAGUUUUGGUUUGAGGCAUGUUUGUUAUGGUUGUUGUAGAAGGUAUGGUACACAGGUACAAAUAGAUUUAAGAAAAUAUUCGAGUUUAGACUUUUGAUAAACGUGGAUAAUCCACAAACUGUUUAUCCUUCUCAUUUGGGGUAAGAAAGACAUGAAUAUACAACAAGUGGAUGACUUCUUAUCUCUGAUCUCAAGCUAAGUUGCUCGGACUCGGGUGCAGGUGUCCGGUAUGGGUGCGAAUCUAGAGGUCGGAUCCUUCAUGAUCUAAAUUUCAAGAUUCGGGGGGUAUGAAUCCAAGUACAAAUAUGGGUGCAGGGAUUUGACUAAAAAUAAUUCAAAUAUCUAAAAAUAGAGUUAUAAAAAUAUGUCUAUAUUAUGAGACAUUAUGCGAAAAACUUACAAUGUAUUCCGAGAAGGAGAAAAUAUUGAUCAAGAGGAGAAUCCGAGGAGAUAAAAGGAAAAGGACUGACAUAGAAAUUUCUAUAUAAAAGGUAUUUUAUUUUCUUCAAUUUCACCGUAGUUUGUAUUUUGAUUUCAAAAAUUAUUGUAUCUAUGCCGAAUUUCUCCGUCGAUUUUGGCCAAAGUAAUCAAAAUCGGUUGACCAGUUCCGGUAUGGAUCACACACCCACACCCACACUCACGUCAUGUCGACAUGGGUGCAGCACCGAAAGUGAAGAGUCCAAGCAACUUAGAUCUCAAGCAUAAUCCCAUUUUAACCGGACCAUAUACAACUCUAAUCCAUCGAAGGUAGCUGCUUCUUCAUUUCAUAUUAUUUGACCUUAAUUCUAAGGAAAGAACUGGAUAAUUUCAUAUGGAGGAGAAAAAGUUGGCAAAAUAUGUCCAACUUGUGGCAAAUAGAAGAUAAAAAUCCAAAAUAAAGCUAUGUUCUUAAGGAUGUGCAAUUUUCUUUUUUCUUUUUUUUUUUGGGAGAGGGGGGGGAGGAAUUAACUUUAAGGAUGCGCAAAGUGUCAAGGUUUCUUGUAAGUAGCCGAAAAUGGCAUAUCUCUACAGAGUAGGUGAACCUUGGAAGCCAAGCGCGCAAAAGAAAAAACACAUUUAUUCAAAAGUUAUAACAGGAUCAGAUUGUAAUUGAGCCUUUUGCAAGACACAGUAACACAAGCCAUAAGAAUUAAGGACAAAUAUAAGCACUUGCUUAUAUAAGUUGUACAGCUAACUAGAAUUACUUAGUUGAAUUUUUUACUUCUCCAGUUGCAAGGAAUGCACCCUUUUUCAGUGGUAGAAAGGAAUUUAGUAAUAUUUUAGUCACCAAUAGAUUUUUCUUUCUUUUUUUUUUUUUUUGGGGGGUGGGGGGGGGGGGGAAGCUGAUGUUAAUUCAGUCAUCUUCACCUCGACGAAUUUUGCUAAUCUCUAUGUCCUUCACGGUUAAUAUGGAAAAUAUACAUUUGUUUUAUCAGUCAGUGUUGUGAUUUUCAAACCACAAUUUUAGUUCAAAUAGGAAAGGAUGAAAGCACUGCUCUGACAAGUCACAAGGAAGAUACCAGAUCUUACUAAACAAAGAUCAUUCGUGAGCCCUCGAAAGCUAGGUCCUAUAGGUUCCUAAAGCAACAUCCUAACCAGGAUCAGCAUGAAAGACUGAAGAUUUAAUUUUCAUCCCAAAAGAAAAAGGACAGAAGAUUUGAUCCUCAAACGCUAACAUGCAAGGUUAGCAUUACAAUAAUCUAAUCUGUAUAGUAAAUCAUUUCCAGAAACAAAACUAAAGGCAAUUCACAUUAUUCAAUGGUAGGCUAACAUGUACGAUGAUGCAACAAUUAAAAAUUUCUUUAAAAAAAGAGAGCUAUUCAGAAACAUUAACCAUGCGUCAAAACCAUGAAUUAAGCCAAAGCUUUAACCUAGCCAUUAAGUGCAAUAACAUUUGCCGUAACAUUCUCAUAAAGACCACAAGUUUGAGUUGUUCAAAUGCUUUCAUGACCACAACUACAUCAUUCCAGCCUGUGUUAUAUAUUUCAAAUCACAUAUAUUCAAUUAGAACGUAAAAGUAUUCCUUGGUUCGGUUUUGGAUAGACAAUUACAUUUAGAUGUGUGGCAGGGGGCAUACAAUAUAUUUGAGGCAAACUUGCUCCAUUAACAGCCCUAUCGGGGUAGGGGUAAGGUCUGCGUACACUCUACCCUCCCCAGACCGCACUUUGUGGAAUUUUACUGGGUCGUUGUUGUUGUUGUUGGCUUGUUGCUCCAUUAACAAUUAGAAGUCAUGGGCUGUUAUUUUAACCCCUAUGGCGAUAGAAAAAUUUCUACUGAAUGCGUCUCAGUCGGAGUGGCCAAAAAUCAAACAUCCGAACCCCAUGUUGACAAAAAUAUAAAUAUGAGAUUAGAGUCAGGUUCACCAUAACAAAUUUUGGAGGAAAUAGCAUAGUCAAAUAGAACAGAACGAGAAACAUGAGUUCUUCUAGAAGAAUAAAAAUUUCACAAACACGUUCAGGGCCAGAUGUGACAAAAACUAACCUUUGUUAACUUUGCAGGAAGAUAACAACCGAAAUGCAGAAUUGGCAUCAUCAAAUCGUAGUUUUCUUGCAAUCCACGAAUAGACCACUCCUUUACAGUCACUAAGUGUAUCAAUUUCACUAGGCACUCCAACUAUGUUCUUACCACCAUGACUCGUCUUUAUUCCUGAGAUCUGAAGCACGGCCUCAGAAAUAGCAUGCUGGCAAACAGGCCUACAGCAUUCUUUAAGAGUAUCAACUGUGCUGCACGCCUCCAACAACUUGCUUGUAUUCACUGUUUUCUCGAAAGUGCCAAUGUCCUUCACAGGACAAGACCCACCAGUUAUAUUUGAUGACUUCACAGAGCAUAGGCCAGGAAUUGAGCUGUUUGCUCCUUUACUAGCUAAUAUACUGAUGAUAUCUCUAAAACAAUCAUCAGCUACCGCACUUUGUAAAACUAAAGUAUCAGAAUGGUUGCUGUAAAAUCCCUGGAAUAUGCGGAGUAAGCUAUUGAACUGAGGACAGCAUAUUACAUUUCCUACAACUGUUGACAAAGACCGAGUACAAUCAGAUGCUGUCUUAUCUGUGAUGCUUGAAAUAACAGAGAAAUUCACAGGGCAUCUUCCAGUCAAGACAGGGUCAUAUGUCUUCGGAAACGAAGGGUACAUUGGUGGCAAUGACUUCACCGGGAAAGGAUAAUGAGGUAUGACAGCAGGCGGUAUCUCAAUUGGUUCAAAGAUUCCACUUUUGGGAGGGCUAGCCAGUUCAGAUGUGGAAGAAGUUUCGCCUGUUUUAUGUGGCACAUGUAGAGCCACUACAUUCUGAUAGCUGGCCAACCAGAUAGCAACGACUAGCAGCUGAUGGCUCAACAAACCUGCAAUCAGAUGCAACAAGUAAGGGCCUGGAUAGAAAACAAAUGCACAUGCAUAAGCAGGAGUUGGGCAAUAUCAAGUUGCAUCUUGGAAGUGGUCAUUUCAUGCAAUUAAUUUAAGUAAAACAACCCUUGAAAUUUUACCGAUUUAAAAAAAAAACAACCCUUGAAAUUUUGACAGAACUUCAGCAUUAUAAAGAUCUUUCAGUGACACAAAGAAACCACAAGGCAAAACCAACUACAGCACAGCAUCUUGCUCAUCUUCAUUCAGAAAGGAAUAAUAUAAUGGCCACUACCAGGAAGAAAAUGAGAAUAGGCUACCAAAAAUCAGUACAACCUCUCAACAACUGCCAGCUAAAUUAUGUCUGCUAAAAUACUUUGUAACAACACGUUGGAUGCCAUUCUUUAGGGGACAAAACAGAAAGCCACCAAGAACAUGAGUACAUUUACAAUAGAUGGCACAUAGUUAAAGUCCAAAAUUCUCUUCCCAUGUCUCUAAUAAGAUGAAGUCUAGCAUAUUAAUUUUCACAAGACCAGUAAUGUACCCUUGAGACGAGUGGCGGUCAUCGCACAAGCCAUGCCUCUGCUAACCCUCCCGCAACAUGGAGACACACAAUCGAUACCUUUAUGCUGCUGAUGGUACGGGAAUUGAGCUGGUCACAUAAAUAUUAUGACGUACCAGUACCUACGAUAGAUUCAGCCGCAUAGAUUCAGCCACCGGGUUAAUUGAGAGAUUAAGGCAACAAUCAAAUAAUCUGAAAUUGCCUUAGAUAGCGCAUGGCAUACAUAUUUGUAAAUAACUUUUUAUCUUAUUUGUAAAGAAAGAGGUACAAAAAUUUAAUAGCAGCAAUUUUUUAUAACACAGGUAUUCGGACCAGCUUGUGCACCUCGAUUAAUUUCACGGGGUACCUACUACCUCCACCAGCACAGAUACCGGGUAACUCUAUCUACCAAGGCUUGGACAGAUGAAAAGAAACCAUCUGGUGUUUUGCCUCCGCUGAGAUUUGAACCUGAGACCUCAUGGUUCUCAAUCCACUUCAUUGACCACUAGGUCACACAUUCGGGUGCAAUAAUUUAAUAGGGGCAUAAUAGUUCCAAAUGCCUCUUUUUCUCUUUCAAGAAACAUAAGCAAACCAAUGUUCUUCAAUAUCAUCACAAAUAAGUGCCAAGGAACUUCACUACAAAAGAAAUGCACAAUCUCAUGAUCAUGUCAUAAGUAGGAGUGGCAAACGGGCAGGUCGGGUCGGAUAUGGUUCAGGUCGAAAACAGGUUAAAACGGAUAAAUUAUCCGGCCCGCCCAUAUUUAAUACGGAUAAAAAACGGGUUAACAGGCAGAUAAUAUGGGUAACUAUAUCAUCCAUGACUUUUUGCAUAUCAUCACUUUUGGGAGAAUUCUUAGUCUCCUUAACUUGAGGAACCCCCAAUAUGAGGCUUUACAAAUGUAAAAGUUAGACCCAUUGGUUAUCCAUUGGUUACCUAUUGGUUAUCCAUUUUCUAAAUGGAUAAUAUGUUUCUUAUCCAUAUUUGACCCGUUUUUAAAAAGUUCAUUAUCCAACCUAUUUUUUAGUGGAUAAUAUGGGUGGAUAACUAUUUUCUUUGAACCAUUUUGCCACCACUAGUCAUAAGUUACACUCGUCUCUAGAUGCCAUGGCAACAAAAGCGGACUGACAUGUCUUCAAAUAUCAAACUAUUGUUUUCACCUAAUCCCAUUAUUAUGAUUUUCCAAAUUCGGAGAAAUAUGGAAGUUUAGGUCCACUAUUUCCCCCGACUUUCUAUAACCUGAAAGUUCUACCACACAAUUGAAACUCUACUACAAAAUACAUCUGGAAAAGUUACAAUCAGAAAUUUCAUGAUUCAUCCAACUCUUUCCCCCCCAAUUUCUAGUAUCACUAGAUUUCCUUCUUAACAGAACUAUCCUAGUCCAUUGAUGACAUGACCAGAGUCAGAUCUAGAAUUUGAACAUUAUGAGUUCGAGAUUGGAAUUCUACUACAACCCAUUUGCUUUAUUGUGUUCGAAAUCUAUUAUUGUACUUAUUUCUUGGUAUAAUUAUUAUACACUGACGCUCUAAAUAAUAUUUACACAUCUAGCCACUUAAAAACCUGCUACUACCAACUCAAGUGUAUACAACUUAAAUCCAUAUUUCUUUUCCUUAUUUUUUAUUUAUUAAAAAAAUUAUGCUCAUUUCUUCUAUAGGGAAAGAAUACUCCUUUUUAAUAAAAAGAAAUGCCAAUUAAAAAAUUCAAAAUUAAAAUGAUAAAGGAGUUAAUUUUUUUCUAUAGAAAAAAAUGCCCUCUAAAAUAAAGAUUAAAAAACAAUUACAAACUCAAGAACUAAACAAACAGGAAGUUAAAAUGCGGCUCAAAAUACCUAAGAUCCAGAGUUACGAAAAGCAUAGAAAUACACAAAAAUUUAACUAACUGCAUAGUUAUAUAUAGAUAAAUAACAGAAAUAGAAAAAAUAAUGAAACAUACCUGAAGUUAAAAUUCAGUAGAGACCAGAAAUUCUCCAAAUCAUUUGUCAUUAAAUGAAUGCUUGGAUCCAAAGAAUUGUAGACUAAGAGACUCAAUAAAUCGACAAAUGAUUUGAUUCAGUGUAUAUAUCCAUUAAAGGGUAAGUAGUAAACGGGUGUGCCAAAGAAGAAAGAACCCUAGAACCAGAGGAAGAAAGAGUAGUAGCAGCAGGUAGGUGUUCAGGAGGGGGUAUGGGGAUGUGUUUUCUUUAUUUUAGAGGUGCCGUUUUAGGGGAAAUUGCCUAUUAUGUCACAUCAGUACAUUAGGGGGCGUCUAGACUUAAGAACGGUAAAAUAGCAGGGGGAGGGGGAAUGCUACUAUAUUUGUAAAUUACUCUAUUUGGAUAUGAAUAUAAUUUUGGACUUUUUAAUUUUUGUAAUUAAUUUAAAAUAAAAAAAUUUAAAAAUAGCUUUUAGAGUUUUUCAAAUUUUUCGAAAAAUUUCGAAAUUUAUCUUCAAGUGAAAAUAGGUAGGUAAUUCAUUCUUACGUGAGAACUUUUGCUCCUACGCUCGACCUUUUCUCUCUCUAACACUCAAGAAUGUUGCUUCUAAAAAUUUCUGUCGGCCACUUUUUUUCCGGGGACACUUCACGUAUCGGUGCAGGUAAGGUAAGGUUUUCUCUUCUCCUCCUAUUCUCGUUCUCUCCCUUUUCUUUGUUCCCUACUCCCCUUCUCUUUCUCUCGAUCUCUUCCCCCCUUUCCCCCUUUCCAUGUUUCUUGGUGUCAGUCGCCGGUCAUCGGGAAUAACCUGUUGUCGGCGGUAGCCUUAGGUCCCAGGCAUUACCCCUCUACUCUCUCCCAUUUCUCUUUCACUCUCGUCUCUCUCCCUCAUCUUUUCAAACCCUAAAUUGCCGGUGACAGCUAUUGUCCAACAAUCCCUUUUCUUUUCUCUUUCUUCCUCUGCUCUUUCUCCUUUCUUACAUUGCCCCAUUUUAUUGCCCGUACCAGUCGCCCUAGGCGGCGACCCAGGCAAUUUGUGGUUUUUGUCUUAUAUCUUGGACAGGGCGGGAUAGACAAUUGUACUCAGGCUUAAGCACACGGGUUCGGGAGGCAGCAACAUACAGCGAAUUGGGAAGCGCAUCUGGACAUCUCCGAAUAUAAUCCAUGUUCUAUCUUUCUUGAAUUGUAUUUGCGCACAUCUCUUUACUGUUGCCUUGUCGGCAAUUUUUGUUUGUGUACACAUCUGUUAGUUUUGGCUGCCUUGACGGUAACCCGUAGUUGGAUUGACUGCUUUCGGUAGACAACACUUGCUUGUUUUUCUAUCUUUUACAACUAGUGGUUUAAGCUUAAGGUUUCGUCUAUCCCUUUUAAUUCUUUGUUUGCAUAGCGGUAGUUUCUUAGACGUGGUAGAUUCAUUGUUCUAGUGACUGCUUGCGUACUUUUCUCAUAGUAGUGCCUUUGAGUUGUUUUUAGCUCUCAGAUUCCUAGUUUGUAUUCAUUUGUUCCCGCUAUUUGUUCUUAUUGGUAAUGAUUACCUAAUACCUCUUGCUUAUAGUGGUGGUAGUAAAUGAUGUGAGAGUAAGGUCAUGUCCUCGGAUGGGGAUGGGGGUAGGGUCCAGGGGUGGAAAGGGGGAUAAGAGAGCCUCUAGGCUGAGAGUUGGGUCCUAGAAUAUUGGGACGUUGAUAGGGAAGUCUAUAGAGUUAGGUAAUAUUCUUCGGAAGAGAAUAGCAAAAGCUCCUAUUUAUGGACCUGGAGAUGAAGAGGAGUAGGAAGAAGACGGUGGUGUGCAGGCAACCUAAGAUCAAGUGGGGUAACUUGACCAAGGACAAAGCUUAGGAGUUAGGGGAGAAGUUGUUAGCUAUGAGGGUCUGGAUGAGAAAGGGGACGCGUUUAGUAUGUGGAUCACGACUGCGAAUUGCAUUAGGAAAGUUGCUAGAGAGGUCUUUGGGGUCACGAAGGGCUUUCCUAGGGGUCAUAAAGAGGACUGAUGGUGGAAUAGAGAGGUCCAAGGUAAAGUGGAAACUAGGAAAGCUGCUUAUUUGAAGCUAGUGGAGAGUACAAAUGAGGAGGAAAGAAGGACUUAUCGGGGGUGUUACAAAGAGGCAAAAAAAGAAGCAAAGUUAGCAGUUAUGGUGGCUAAGAACGCGGCAUUUGCUCGUUUGUACGAAGAGCCCAGGGCCAAAGGUGGGGACAAGAAGUUGUAUCGGUUGGCCAAGAUGGGGAACGGAAGGCCCGUAACUUAGACCAAGCCAAGUGCAUCAAGGACGAGUAUGGCAAAGUAAUGAUGGACGAGGCACUUAUUAGAAGAAGAUGACAGACAUACUUUCAUAAACUGUUGAACGAGGAGGGGGAUAAAAGCAUUGUGCUGGUUGAGUUGGAGCACUCCGAGAGUCUGCGGGAUUUUGGGCACUGCAGGUGGAUUAAGGUAGAGGAGGUGGAAGCAGCGAUGCGUAAGAUGCGUAGGGGCAAAGCGACGAAGCCAGACAAAUCCGGUGUAAUUUUGGAAGAGAGCGCUCACUGGGUUAUUUAAUGUUAUUUUGAGGAUGAAAAAGAUACCUAAAGAAUGGAAGUGGAGUACGAUGGUCCCACUGUACAAGAACAAGGGUGAUAUCCAAAAUUGCAAUAAUUAUAAGGGUAUCAAGUUGUUGAGUCACACUAUGAAGGUUUGGGAGAGGGUGGUGGAGGCCAGGGUGAGGAGGUGCAUGUCUAUUUCUGAGAAUCAGUUUGGAUUCAUAUGGAGGCAUUUUACUACGAAAGUGAUUCAUCUGAUAAAGAGAUUAAUGGAGUAGUAUAGGGAGAGGAAGAAGGACUUGUAUAUGGAGUUCAUUGACCUUGAGAAAUCGUACGAUAAAGUUUCGAUGGAGGUUCUAUGGAGGUGUUUGAAGGUUAGCGACAUUCUGAUGGCGUACAUUAGGGUGAUUAAGGAUAUGUAUGAUGGUGCUAAGACUCAGGCGAGGAUUGUGGGAGCUGACUCGGAGCAUUUCUCUAUUGUGAUGGGGCUGCACCUGGGAUCAACUCUUAGCCCAUUUUUAUUUGCAUUGGCAAUGGAUGUACUGUCGCGACACAUUCAAGGGGCGGUGCCUUGGUGCAUGCUAUUUGCUGAUGAUAUAUUGUUGAUUGACGAGACACGAAGUGGAGUUAAUGCGAGGUUGGAGCUUUGGAGAUAGACCUUGGAGUCUAAAGUUUUCAAGUUAAGUAGAACCAAAAUAGAAUACUUGGAAUGCAAAUUCAGUGACGGAACCCAUGAAACAGAUUGUGAUGACUCUAUAGGUCAUAUCUUGUUUUAGAAGUCAAAACUGUAUCUCGAGGCCUUAAAAACCUCUUUUUGUCUUACCUCGAUUUGCGUACACAGUCUGAGCGUGUUUUCGAAAAGCUUUUAUGUGAAGUUUUAGAAAAAAAUAAUGAAUUUGGCCUUUAAAAUGGGUUAAAGUUGACUUUGGUCAACAUUCUUGGUAAAUGGACCCGAACCCGUGAUUAAAUGGUUUCGUAGGGUCCGUAGUAAAAUAUGGGACGUGGACGUAUGCCCGAAAUCGAAUUCCUUAGGUCCCAAGCUGGAGAAAAAAAAAA